UACAGAGGUGGCAAGCGUUGUUCGGAAUUACUGGGCGUAAAGGGCGCGUAGGUGGCCUUUUGAGUCAGACGUGAAGUCCCCCGGCUUAACCUGGGAACUGCGUCUGAUACUGGAAGGCUUGAGUUCGGGAGAGGGAUGUGGAAUUCCAGGUGUAGCGGUGAAAUGCGUAGAUAUCUGGAGGAACACCGGUGGCGAAGGCGGCAUCCUGGACCGAAACUGACACUGAGGCGCGAAAGCCAGGGGAGCAAACGGG
This 253-nucleotide ribosomal RNA is filed under the name uncultured bacterium. Its description in RNAcentral is "partial 16S ribosomal RNA". It matches the Rfam family "Bacterial small subunit ribosomal RNA", at positions 524 to 776 of the family's 1533-position model. The record is from RNAcentral.